GGCGGCGAGAAACUCCCGGGCAAGGUGACCUUCGUCUCGGCGCAGGAGCAUACAGGCCCGGUGAGCGUCGGCCCGUCGGUGGACCGAGGAAGACCGUCGCGGAGCGGCGUCGACCGUUCGUCGUGUGUUGGCGUUCGACUCGGGGGGACUGGUUCCAGUGCCCUCGGACCGCGCCGGCGCAGCGGCGGGCGCGCACGGCGUCGCGCCUGGGGUCGGUGGCGAAACGGCCGGCAACCUGUCCGACCCGUCUUGAAACACGGACCAAGGAGUCUAACAUGUGCGCGAGUCGUUGGGCGCUACGAAACCCGAAGGCGCAAUGAAAGUGAAGGCCCGGUCUCCGGCCGGCCUGGGUGGGAUCCCGGCGGUCUCGGCCGUCGGGCGCACCACCGGCCCGUCUCGUUCGUUACGUCGAGGAGGCGGAGCAAGAGCGUACACGUUGGGACCCGAAAGAUGGUGAACUAUGCCCGAGUAGGACGAAGCCAGAGGAAACUCUGGUGGAGGUCCGCAGCGAUUCUGACGUGCAAAUCGAUCGUCAAACUUGGGUAUAGGGGCGAAAGACUAAUCGAACCAUCUAGUAGCUGGUUCCUGUCGAAGUUUCCCUCAGGAUAGCUGGCGCUCGUCGUGAGCAGUUUUAUCCGGUAAAGCGAAUGACUGGAGGCCUUGGG
Molecule: ribosomal RNA, 665 nt
Filed under: Eiseniella tetraedra
Lineage: Eukaryota; Metazoa; Annelida; Clitellata; Crassiclitellata; Lumbricidae
Description: partial large subunit ribosomal RNA
Rfam family: Eukaryotic large subunit ribosomal RNA (bases 261-665)
Source: RNAcentral